RNAcentral lists this ribosomal RNA (433 nucleotides) under uncultured bacterium. RNAcentral's name for it is "partial 16S ribosomal RNA". It matches the Rfam family "Bacterial small subunit ribosomal RNA", at positions 29 to 507 of the family's 1533-position model. The record is from RNAcentral.
AACGAACGCUGGCGGUAUGCCUAACACAUGCAAGUCGAACGAGACCUUCGGGUCUAGUGGCGCACGGGUGCGUAACGCGUGGGAACCUGCCCUUAGGUUCGGAAUAACUCCCCGAAAGGGGUGCUAAUACCGGAUAAUGUCUUCGGACCAAAGAUUUAUCGCCUUUGGAUGGGCCCGCGUUGGAUUAGCUAGUUGGUAGUGUAAAAGCCUACCAAGGCGACGAUCCAUAGCUGGUCUGAGAGGAUGAUCAGCCACACUGGGACUGAGACACGGCCCAGACUCCGACGGGAGGCAGCAGUGGGGAAUAGUGGACAAUGGGCGAAAGCCUGAUCCAGCAAUGCCGCGUGAGUGAUGAAGGCCUUAGGGUUGUAAAGCUCUUUUACCCGGGAUGAUAAUGACAGUACCGGGAGAAUAAGCUCCGGCUAACUCCGUG